This 864-nucleotide long non-coding RNA is filed under the name Cottoperca gobio. Its description in RNAcentral is "lncRNA (ENSCGOG00000008445.1)". The record is from RNAcentral. Lineage: Eukaryota; Metazoa; Chordata; Actinopteri; Perciformes; Bovichtidae.
UUUACACAGCUACCCAGCAGGCCAGGUCACUCUGCCGCUGGGCUCUGCCUUACAUGUGGAAGUGUUGGUGGAUGAGUGAUCCAAGUUCUGCAGUUGUUCUGGAGGAUUGCUAUACCACUCACUCCUCAAACCCCGAUGACCCCAUCCGAGACUAUCUCAUUCGUUCCAGGUGUCCUUCUGCCUCUCGUCAUGUCCCGCCGUGUUCGUUUCUCUGCCCUGCUCUUUAAUCUCCAGAAUGAUCAGCCAAACCUCUUCCAUCACUGCACACUAUGCAUGUGUGACAAGAGGAUCCACAACUGUGUUCCACGCUGCAGACGAAGGACAUAUCGCUCUCCUGUCUACCAAGAUCCGAUCCAUUCCAUCACCAUUGGACCAAUCACGUUCAAGUGAAAAAUACAAUCCGGUAUCAGAGCAGAUGUCUCAGCACUGUGAUUUGUUUGGAAGUUAUGUUUCCUUUUUCUUUCAUCUUAGUCUUUUUAUGGGAGAACUCACAUGUUAAUGGAGUGAGAUGAUAAACACUGCAAAGUGAUGCAAGCACAUUUUAAUGAUAUCUUUAUUUUUCGAUCACCCUGUGAUAUCCUUCCUGUCUAUACAUUAUGUAGGCUAUGGUUAAUGGUGGUUCUGUUUUUAGCUAAUCAACAACAACAUGUUCAUGUCUUAACUGUAACUUGAUUUUUUGGUAGAAGAAAUGAUAAACACAUUUAAAGGUACACUAAUAACAACACAGGUUGUGGGUUUGGGGCGAUAUGGCAAACAUAUUCUAUCCCAUUAUAGCAUAUUUCUGGUAAUUCAAUAAAUAAUAGUUCAUGUGAAACAGCAACAUGUUAAAGCCUAUUUAUGUAUACUCUUCUGUGAAUUAAAAAC